Molecule: ribosomal RNA, 783 nt
Filed under: Polypleurum wallichii
Lineage: Eukaryota; Viridiplantae; Streptophyta; Magnoliopsida; Malpighiales; Podostemaceae
Description: eukaryotic LSU rRNA
Rfam family: 5.8S ribosomal RNA (bases 385-540)
Source: RNAcentral
CGUAACAAGGUUUCCGUAGGUGAACCUGCGGAAGGAUCAUUGUCGAAACCUGCCAAGGCAGAACAACGUGCGAACCAUUGAUUAAAACUCGGCAAUGGCAGUGAGUGCAGCGUGCUCCCCCGGGGGUUCCGCUGUUCCUCAUUGUGCACCCAGUGAGUGCAGCGUGCUCCCCCGGGGGUUCCGUUGUUCCUCAUUGUGCAACCGGUGAGUGCAACGUGCUCCCCCCAGGGGUUCCGUUGUUCCUCGUUGGGCUGUUGUCAUGCCUGGCGUUGGGGUCUCGUGCCCUGGCUCCAGGCUAACCAAACCCCCGGCACGAGUUGUGCCAAGGAACACAAAUGAAAUGCUUGGGGGGUGCUUUGCCCCCUUAUAAGUAUUAAACAAAACGACUCUUGACAACGGAUAUCUAGGCUCUUGCAUCGAUGAAGAACGUAGCGAAAUGCGAUACUUGGUGUGAAUUGCAGAAUCCCGUGAACCAUCGAGUUUUUGAACGCAAGUUGCGCCCGAAGCCUUCUGGCCGAGGGCACGCCUGCCUGGGCGUCAUAAUUCGUCACCCCUCCUACCAUGCCCUUGGGCUGACUGGGUCGGGGUGGAAUCUGGCUUCCCGCGUCCCCUAGGCGCGGUUGGCCGAAAUUUGGACGCACCAAGGCAUUGCCUGUAGCGGCCUAGGUGGAUCGAAAGGCCCUCUAAGUUUGCCGUGCAGUGCAGUGCCAUCGGUGCCCACGGCCCCUCUCGUGUUUUCCCUUUGCGGGAAAAUACUGUUGCGCGACCCCAGGUCAGGCGGGA